AACGAACGCUGGCGGCAGGCCUAACACAUGCAAGUCGAGCGCCCUUUCGGGGGAGCGGCGGACGGGUGAGUAACGCGUGGGAAUAUGCCCUUCUCUACGGAAUAGCCUCGGGAAACUGAGAGUAAUACCGUAUACGCCCUGUGGGGGAAAGAUUUAUCGGGGAAGGAUUAGCCCGCGUUGGAUUAGGUAGUUGGUGGGGUAAUGGCCUACCAAGCCGACGAUCCAUAGCUGGUUUGAGAGGAUGAUCAGCCACACUGGGACUGAGACACGGCCCAGACUCCUAGGGGGGGCAGAAGGGGGGAAUCUUAGAAAAGGGGGGAAACCCUGACCUAGCCAGGCCGGGGGGGUUAUGAAGGCCUUAGGGUGGAAAAGCUCUUUCAGCUGGGAAGAUAAUGACGGAACCAGCAAAAGAAGCCCCGGCUAACCCCGU
RNAcentral lists this ribosomal RNA (430 nucleotides) under uncultured bacterium. RNAcentral's name for it is "partial 16S ribosomal RNA". It matches the Rfam family "Bacterial small subunit ribosomal RNA", at positions 29 to 506 of the family's 1533-position model. The record is from RNAcentral.